AAGUCGUAACAAGGUUUCCGUAGGUGAACCUGCGGAAGGAUCAUUAACGAAUAACUAUGGUGUUGGUUGUAGCUGCCUCCUCGGAGGAAUGUGCACGCCCGCCAUUUUUAUCUUUCCACCUGUGCACCGACUGUAGGUCUGGAUAACGCUCGCCUCACGGCGGAUGGCGAGGGUUGGACUUGCUUCACGGCGGUUCUCCCCUCGAAUUUCCAGGCUCUACGUCUUUUACACACCCCCAAUAGUAUGAUAUAGAAUGUAGUCAAUGGGCUUCUCAGCCUAUAAAACACUAUACAACUUUCAGCAACGGAUCUCUUGGCUCUC
This 321-nucleotide unclassified non-coding RNA is filed under the name Coprinellus curtus. RNAcentral describes it as "partial internal transcribed spacer region". The stretch from base 1 to 46 matches the Rfam family "Eukaryotic small subunit ribosomal RNA", at positions 1786 to 1831 of the family's 1831-position model. Lineage: Eukaryota; Fungi; Basidiomycota; Agaricomycetes; Agaricales; Psathyrellaceae. The record is from RNAcentral.